CCUACGGGUGGCUGCAGUGAGGAAUAUUGGUCAAUGGGCGCGAGCCUGAACCAGCCAAGUAGCGUGAAGGAUGAAUGCCCUACGGGUUGUAAACUUCUUUUAUAAGGGAAUAAAGUGAGGCACGUAGGUAUUUUUGUAUGUACUUUAUGAAUAAGGAUAGGCUAACGCCGUGCCAGCAGCCGCGGUAAUACGGAGGAUCCGAGCGUUAUCCGGAUUUAUUGGGGUUAAAGGGAGCGUAGAUGGGUUGUUAAGUCAGAUGUGAAAGUUUGCGGCUCAACCGUAAAAUUGCAAUUGAUACUGGCAGACUUGAGUACAGUUGAGGUAGGCGGAAUUCGUGGUGUAGCGGUGAAAUGCGUAGAUAUCACGAAGAACUCCGAUUGCGAAGGCAGCCUACUAAACUGCCACUGACAUUGAUGCUCGAAAGUGUGGGUAUCAAACAGGAUUAGAUACCCCAGUAGUC
RNAcentral lists this ribosomal RNA (460 nucleotides) under uncultured bacterium. RNAcentral's name for it is "partial 16S ribosomal RNA". It matches the Rfam family "Bacterial small subunit ribosomal RNA", at positions 338 to 795 of the family's 1533-position model. The record is from RNAcentral.